This 279-nucleotide ribosomal RNA is filed under the name uncultured bacterium. Its description in RNAcentral is "partial 16S ribosomal RNA". It matches the Rfam family "Bacterial small subunit ribosomal RNA", at positions 506 to 784 of the family's 1533-position model. The record is from RNAcentral.
UGCCAGCCGCCGCGGUAAGACGAGAGGCCCGAGCGUUAAUCGGAAUCACUGGGCUUAAAGGGUGCGCAGGCGGACCCGUGUGUGUGCUGUGAAAUCCCCCGGCUCAACCGGGGAAUUGCAGUGCAAACUGCGGGUCUUGAGGCAGGUAGGGGCCGUCGGAACGAUCGGUGGAGCGGUGAAAUGCGUUGAUAUCGAUCGGAACGCCAAAGGUGAAGACAGGCGGCUGGGCCUAGCCUGACGCUCAGGCACGAAAGCGUGGGGAUCAAACAGGAUUAGAUA